GGGCCUAUAGUAAAAUGGUAUUACGCGGCAUUCGCAUUGCCGAGGUGGGAGUUCGAUUCUCCCUAGGUCCA
Non-coding RNA from Candidatus Liptonbacteria bacterium, 71 nucleotides. NCBI's taxonomy places the organism in Bacteria, Candidatus Liptoniibacteriota. The record is from Rfam.